UCCCAGGUAUCUCUUUCUCCCAGGCAUCGUUCAGAAAGCAUCAGUGAUUUGGAUAACGUUCUGUCUGAGGAGGAAGAUGAUGAAACCAUGACGUCCACUGAGAUGUACCAUUGCUUGUACUCUUCUCUGACCUUGGAGCAAACAGAGAAACCCACCUCUCCAGAUCCUACAGAAACAACUCCUGCAGCAUCAGCACAGAACCAGGAGGAGAACCCUAACAGAACUGACAUCAAUCUUCCAUCUCUGGGAGUUGAAAUCCUGAAGUCAGAAGAGUCUCUUGAAACUGAAGGGAGAGUCACCACAAACCCUCUUUAUUUGCAGCCUAUGUCCUUUGGCUUGAUCUCAUCAGGUCCACCGUCACCUUUAGGACUUCCAGAAUCUUCUACACCACAAAGAGAAAUAGAGUCAUUAAGAGCCCAUUCACCUAUCCAGACACAUGAUAUAAACGAUAUCCAGAUUCAAACAAGUGAGAAUCGUGUGUCUGGCACAGAUAGAAACGACAGCAUCCAAGAGGAAUCAACAUUUAGACUACAUCCCGUACCUCUGCCUCGCUUAAAAAAGCCUAAAAUAGAUAUAAGGAGCCCUCCGUCUCCAAAAAGAGCCGCAGAGGCUUCAAUGAAACCUUGGGAAGCUGGAGUAGAAACUGCACCCGAAUUGGUUAGCAGGACACUUAACGCUGAAGAAUUACAAUUUUUAAUUGCAUCUGAAAAGCAUCGCUCCAAAGCAACCACUCAGACAAAGCAGAAUGAGGGACAUUUGAAACAUUCUCCAGAAAUCAAGACCCAACCCAUCAAACCCAAUCCAGAGUUGCAGAAAGAUGAAGAGAGAGAGACAAAACCAACAGAUCUCCAGAAUCUCCUCCAUCAAACGCAAGAGACGAAGAGCAGUUUUCAUAGAGAAGUACCACCUCCUAUUAUGUCCAAACCAAUAACGGGAACUAAUCUUAGGAAGGCAGAUACCACUGCAGAACAUUUGGAAACAGGGAAACUAGAGGAACCUGAAGACAGGAAGAAUGCUUUUGGGGUGCAGCUCCGCACAACCUCUCUGUCACUAAAAUAUCGCUCGGAUGUUUCCAAAAUCAAGGAUGAAACCAAACGGUACACUUUAGAGUCUAAUACAGUGACAGAAGUCUCUGAAGAGCAUGCUGGAAAAGCAGAAACCAAUUCCAAGAGUAAAACCGGCGUUCCCAAAAAACUAGAUCUACAGAAUCUGGACUCUCUGCUUGCUGCCCAAGACAAUGGAAGACCAUCUAUUCAAAAUACAACAGGAGCAAGUAAAGAGGCUGUGUCUGAGCCGGGCUGGAUGAGUCUAGCCAGGGAGAAGACCAGAGCCUACCAGCCAUUUUUGGGCAGAUUGGCCACAAAUCAGUCACCAGUCCACCCUACAUCUCCAACGGCUCCUCCUGCGCAGCCUCCCAAACCAGCCUUACAACCUAAAACACAGCCACUGAGCACCUCGCUUCAUCCACUGAAAGCAGCCAGCCUACAGACCUCACAGAGACCUCAGACAAAACUAGCACCUAGUGGAACAAAAGACUGGCAGGUAAC
Molecule: long non-coding RNA, 1547 nt
Filed under: Sinocyclocheilus grahami
Lineage: Eukaryota; Metazoa; Chordata; Actinopteri; Cypriniformes; Cyprinidae
Description: lncRNA (ENSSGRG00000013885.1)
Source: RNAcentral